GACGAACGCUGGCGGCGUGCUUAACACAUGCAAGUCGAACGGAAAGGCCCUGCUUGCAGGGUGCUCGAGUGGCGAACGGGUGAGUAACACGUGGGUGAUCUGCCCCUUACUUUGGGAUAAGCCUGGGAAACUGGGUCUAAUACUGGAUAGGACCAUGCUGUAGGUGGUGUGGUGGAAAGAUUAGUUUCGGUAAGGGAUGAGCUCGGGGCCUAUCAGCUUGUUGGUGGGGUAAUGGCCUACCAAGGCGUCGACGGGUAGCCGGCCUGAGAGGGUGGACGGCCACAUCGGGACUGAGAGACGGGCCAGAAUCCUGCGGGAGGCAGCAGUGGGGAAUAUCGUACAAUAGGCGCAAGCCUGAUGCAGCGACGCUGCGUGGGGGAUGACGGCCUUCGGGUUGUAAACUCCUUUCGGCCAUGACGAAGCGCUUGUGGUGACGGUAGUGGUAGAAGAAGCACCGGCUAACUACGUG
RNAcentral lists this ribosomal RNA (469 nucleotides) under uncultured bacterium. RNAcentral's name for it is "partial 16S ribosomal RNA". It matches the Rfam family "Bacterial small subunit ribosomal RNA", at positions 28 to 507 of the family's 1533-position model. The record is from RNAcentral.